GUAGAAUUCCAGGUGUAGCGGUGAAAUGCGUAGAGAUCUGGAGGAAUACCGGUGGCGAAGGCGGCCCCCUGGACGAAGACUGACGCUCAGGUGCGAAAGCGUGGGGAGCAAACAGGAUUAGAUACCCUGGUAGUCCACGCCGUAAACGAUGUCGACUUGGAGGUUGUGCCCUUGAGGCGUGGCUUCCGGAGCUAACGCGUUAAGUCGACCGCCUGGGGAGUACGGCCGCAAGGUUAAAACUCAAAUGAAUUGACGGGGGCCCGCACAAGCGGUGGAGCAUGUGGUUUAAUUCGAUGCAACGCGAAGAACCUUACCUGGUCUUGACAUCCACGGAAGUUUUCAGAGAUGAGAAUGUGCCUUCGGGAACCGUGAGACAGGUGCUGCAUGGCUGUCGUCAGCUCGUGUUGUGAAAUGUUGGGUUAAGUCCCGCAACGAGCGCAACCCUUAUCCUUUGUUGCCAGCGGUCCGGCCGGGAACUCAAAGGAGACUGCCAGUGAUAAACUGGAGGAAGGUGGGGAUGACGUCAAGUCAUCAUGGCCCUUACGACCAGGGCUACACACGUGCUACAAUGGCGCAUACAAAGAGAAGCGACCUCGCGAGAGCAAGCGGACCUCAUAAAGUGCGUCGUAGUCCGGAUUGGAGUCUGCAACUCGACUCCAUGAAGUCGGAAUCGCUAGUAAUCGUGGAUCAGAAUGCCACGGUGAAUACGUUCCCGGGCCUUGUACACACCGCCCGUCACACCAUGGGAGUGGGUUGCAAAAGAAGUAGGUAGCUUAACCUUCGGGAGGGCGCUUACCACUUUGUGAUUCAUGACUGGGGUGAAGUCGUAACAAGGUAACCGUAGGGGAACCUGCGGUUGGAUCACCUCCUUACCUUAAAGAAGC
Molecule: ribosomal RNA, 884 nt
Filed under: Escherichia coli
Lineage: Bacteria; Pseudomonadati; Pseudomonadota; Gammaproteobacteria; Enterobacterales; Enterobacteriaceae
Also listed under: 1 other name
Description: bacterial SSU rRNA
Rfam family: Bacterial small subunit ribosomal RNA
Source: RNAcentral